GAAUGUCAGCCACUUAUUUUAUUUUCGGAUGCUUCUUUCUAGGCACCACAGUGGCCUUGAUUUUUCCGCAACAUAAUUGCUCCGAAUAUUUUACGUAUGGCAUAGGACGAGGACGGGAGUAGCAUAGGCAUUUUCACGGCCAAAGAAACAACACGACCGCAAUUGAAUUUUAGUGUGAUUUUCGCAUGGAAAGGAUCUGCUGAUAUCGUGCCUAUAAGGAUGUAUCCCAAUACUUUUGAACUAUAUCAGAAUGUUCAAAUGGGUUUGCGUGCCCAAGCGUAUGUCAAAUUCGUUAACGUCACCGAAAUGAUGCCUAUGCCAGCUAGAUUCUAUUUUAACGAUGAGUUACUCUGCUUCAUAGAAUUACGAAGGGGGAUCGUACCAUAUCAAGGAAUAGCAAUGGAAUUAUCCAUACCCCUUCAGACUUUACGCAAUGUCCAAAAGUCUCGCCCGAAAAUGCACCCAAUCUUUCCGAGAAUACAACCCUCAAUCAACAUUGUAUAACGCAGAAUAUGUUAGGAACUGUAAAAAAAUUUCUAAAAACAUUUUCCUGCUUGAAAUAUAUGCCCCAAACAAAAAAAAAAGCAGUUCCCAAUUCAAAUGUGUCAAAUAUUGUAUUUCCUAUUGAAGGACAAAGA
This is a long non-coding RNA of Drosophila gunungcola (fruit fly), 638 nucleotides long. RefSeq lists it as uncharacterized. NCBI's taxonomy places the organism in Eukaryota, Metazoa, Arthropoda, Insecta, Diptera, Drosophilidae. The transcript is spliced from 3 exons. The record is from RefSeq and is a predicted model, not a curated record.